CCAACUUACUUAACACAGGUGUCUUUACGGGCCUUGUUUGGGUUUAGCAGGAAUCGCCGCCGGAGCAACUGGAAGCGGAAAUAAAAUUCUGUACUUCGCCAUGUGUACCGGGAUGAUCUAGCGUUUGUAGCCUCUAUUUCGGCUCAUUACUCUUAUGUUACUGAACAAAAUUCAGUUAGGAACAGUGGCUGACUACAGAUGUAGAACGCCAGGUGGGUCAAGAACGUCUGGAGACAGUGUGUUCUCUCUGUACCACUGAAAAUUGUAUAAGUGUGUACAACUGACACUACAGUGUUCGCACUCGUGGAUUAUGUGCCCAGAACCCCUGAAUUAGGCGACCGAAGAAGGAUACGUCUGCAUCAAUGGCACUGAAAGGCGAUCGUUGCCAGCGUGUCUUGCGUCCGCAGCGUGGCGAUACGCCGGAAGGAAUUACCGACAGAGAACUCGUGCAACUAAGGUUUUGUUCGUUUGACCGAAAGUCGUCGGUUUCUGGUGCUGCAGGCAACCACCGACAUGAAUGUGUCAACUGAGAAAAGCAAGUUAAUAGGUCAGGCAGCAGGGUAAAGCUCUGUUUCAUGUGCAGACGCCGAAUACUUCGAUACAAGAAAAUGCUGACUGUUGGUGGCGCUCGUCGUCUCCAUAUAUUUUGCCGGCGAAGAGUGGUUCGUGCAGAUUGUUUUGUUGCUCGCGACACUGCUAGUCGACUGUACCGUGUUCCAGUUCACAUCUGAACCGCUGACUACGCAGUUGUAGACGCGGAACAACACGGAGCAUCCGCUAUCCAUCUGUAGCAGCCCCGGCGAUAGCUGUGUUCACAAGAAUUUUUGUUCGAUUUUCCUGGAAAACCCCCAUCUUGUGGGAACACGCGCGUGCUUCCUCUGGAUGUGCAAGGGUGGUUCGGUCGGUAGACUCCUGCAAGACUCUUUCGAUUUUCUCUCACUGUUUUGAACGUUUUUAUGCACGGUGGAGAAAUGUAUCGAAACCAACAGAAAUAUUGCAAGAAACGACGAACGCGGCACACUCUGUGGAGGCAGCAAUCGAGCC
RNAcentral lists this long non-coding RNA (1044 nucleotides) under Toxoplasma gondii VEG. The record is from RNAcentral. Lineage: Eukaryota; Apicomplexa; Conoidasida; Eucoccidiorida; Sarcocystidae.